This 1441-nucleotide long non-coding RNA is filed under the name Ananas comosus (pineapple). RNAcentral describes it as "long non-coding RNA (ACOM_LNC000294)". The record is from RNAcentral. Lineage: Eukaryota; Viridiplantae; Streptophyta; Magnoliopsida; Poales; Bromeliaceae.
UUUCAUAUGAGUGUUAAUUUUAUUAUCGAAUCUCUUGCUGUUUGUCGUUAAAUCUAUUUUGAAUCGCAAUCCCACUUAGCUUACUGGACUCAUCUAAGUCAACUUAUUAGUCUCAUAAAUUUAUUAUUACGGAAUAUAAAGUUGGAUUUAUCUUAGUCGGUAAUAAUAAAAAACCGACAUAUGAGAGUUUAUUUAUUUUAUUUUAUUUUUUAAGAAUAAAAAUGUAUGAAACUUAUCUAAACUAUUGUUCAUUUUGGAUUUGAUCACUCGCCCUUUCAAAUAUAAGAGUUUGGAUUCAGAGCGGUCCUUGUCGUAGUAAUUUAGACAUAGUUUAGUACUAUAGGGAGGCUAAAAGUACUAAUUUUAUAUUAUAAAAGGUUUCAAAUUUUAACUGUGUUUUUAAUUUUUUUUUCUUUUUUAUAUUACAAAAUUGUGAUUGCGAACGUCAGUUAUAUGGUUUUUUUUUUUUUUUUUUUUUUNCUAUCCGCUUCGUUUAUUUCAUUUAGAAAUAAACUUAGCUGGAAAUGUGAAUCAACUAGGAUUCGAACUUGGGUCUCGGCUACCAACUAUCAAACCCUUUGCCAUUUGCUCUAGAGACGAUUGGUACGUCAGUUAUAUGUUUCUCCAAUUGUUAUUACAAUUGUAAUUUUAAGGCAAAUUAUAAGCGCUUUUAAAUUUUUAGAAUCUUUUAUACUAUAAAAAUUAUAUUUUUAUACAUUUUUUAUGAAUUAUACUACUAUACUAUCAAUAGUACUAAGUGGUUGGUGCUAUUGAGUUUUCAGUCGUUGGAUAAAAGGAUGUGCGGUUAAGUCUCCUAAGUUUGAGUGAGUGGUUAGUUGAAUAGUAUAAUCUAACGGAUGAAAAUGAUCUAAGAUUAAAUCUAACGGCAGAAAACUAAAUAGUACCAAAAACUUAGUACUAUAGUAUAGUAGUCUGACCUAUCUUUUAUAAUAUAAAAAUGAAUUAAAGAUAUUUUAGUAGACCAAAGGUAACGUCAAAACUCUAAUACUAUAUUAAAGAAUAUGAAAUAAUUAUUAUUCUGCAAGCGUUUAAACUUGUCAACAAUGGUAUUUGUAAAUAUUUAUAUUCAACAUAUACUUUAUAGGCUAUAAUUAAGUGUUUACCUUGGUUUCAAUAAAAAAGAAAAAAAAAAUUGUUCUAUUGAAAGUGCUCGAUGAGAAUCAAAGCCCGAUAUUACGGACGGCGACUCAAAUAAUAACCACUAGACCAGUAAUAGUUAUUACCUCACGCUCUUUGACAAAAGAAAUACUAGGACUCUGUUUGGAAUUACAGAAAUACUGCGCUCUAUGUGAUGAAAAAAUAUGAUGAAACAAUAUUUUGUUUGUUUUUGUAUAUAAAUUUAUGUUGCAGAUAAAUCGUAAUGAGACGGCUAUAAUAUACUUUAUAUUUGUUUAAUAAUAUUGUAUGAUUUUCAGUAUCU